This 576-nucleotide ribosomal RNA is filed under the name uncultured eukaryote. RNAcentral describes it as "SSU rRNA". It matches the Rfam family "Eukaryotic small subunit ribosomal RNA", at positions 203 to 784 of the family's 1831-position model. The record is from RNAcentral.
UAUUUAUUAGAUAAAAAACCAAUGCCCUUCGGGGCUCCUUGGUGAAUCAUAAUAACUUAACGAAUCGCAUGGCCUUGCGCCGGCGAUGGUUCAUUCAAAUUUCUGCCCUAUCAACUUUCGAUGGUAGGAUAGUGGCCUACCAUGGUAUCAACGGGUAACGGGGAAUUAGGGUUCGACUCCGGAGAGGGAGCCUGAGAAACGGCUACCACAUCCAAGGAAGGCAGCAGGCGCGCAAAUUACCCAAUCCCGGCACGGGGAGGUAGUGACAAUAAAUACUGAUACAGGGCUCUUUUGGGUCUUGUAAUUGGAAUGAGUACAAUUUAAAUCCCUUAACGAGGAACAAUUGGAGGGCAAGUCUGGUGCCAGCAGCCGCGGUAAUUCCAGCUCCAAUAGCGUAUAUUAAAGUUGUUGCAGUUAAAAAGCUCGUAGUUGAACCUUGGGCCUGGCUGGCCGGUCCGCCUCACCGCGUGUACUGGUCCGGCCGGGCCUUUCCUUCUGGGGAACCUCAUGCCCUUCACUGGGCGUGUUGGGGAACCAGGACUUUUACUUUGAAAAAAUUAGAGUGUUCAAAGCAGG